Molecule: long non-coding RNA, 1488 nt
Filed under: Lonchura striata (white-rumped munia)
Lineage: Eukaryota; Metazoa; Chordata; Aves; Passeriformes; Estrildidae
Description: domestica (Bengalese finch) lncRNA (ENSLSDG00000003059.1)
Source: RNAcentral
GUGCUGGUCAGGAGUCUGCAGCCUCCCAGCAGGGAAGAUAACUGGCAGCCAUCAUUUGGGGGCAGAGAAAAAUGCUGCUGUUGUAGAAAACAGCAGAUGGGAAAACCUCAAUUUGAAACAAAUCCUAAGCACUUCCAUUUCCCAUUGACUUAUUCUAACAUGACAUCAAAUAAAGAUCACAAGCCCAAAGUCAAUAUGUUUGCUCAGACAGAAUAAUUCCAGUCAAACAAUACUCAGUGUCAGGAAUGACGGUAUCACACCAAAAUCAGGAAAACAAAGACAGACAUGCUCAUGGACCUAACAAGGAGCAAACCCCUCUUUGUCCAGCCAUUUCAGUAUUGAACAUGCUUGUAGGAGCAAGUCUUAUUUGUAAAAGAAGUCAUAAUUUAUAAUGAAAUAAUGGUCACAUGAUCUUGUACCUAUAUAACUUGAGGGAAACCCCAAGAAAUCCCUAGACUCUCCUUCCUGCACCUCCUGGACUGAAGCACUAGGAACCUGACUCAGAGAUCACCAAAAUUAACUGGGGCCAAAGACCACAGUAGAAUGAGAAGAUUUUAUAUAUAGAUUCUAUGCUUUUCUAUGUCCCUGUAUGGCCAGCUCUGUGCACUAAAUUGUUAUUAGUCCCUAAAAGAUUCGGGAACAACUUAAAAUUCUUAGCUAUUAAAAUUAUGAAAUAAUGGUUUUAUUUACUCUGGCAUAAGAACCAUUGCUUUCAGGAUUUAUGUAUAAACUUUUUCCUUUCCAUCCAUGUGACUGAUUUUUUUCUUGAUGUCAGUCGAAAGAAAAAUCUCAGAUGCCAAGUAUGACUUUCGAUGUCACCGUUACAGUGCUGCGAGUUGGCAUCACUUCGAAUCAACUUCCAGUAGCCUGUAAACGCGGCUGAAUGGAUUCCUUAAAAGAAAAUUAGCUCUAAAAUGUAAGUGAAGACCUGCUGUCAAAAACCCAGCCGAUGCCACGGCAAAGCCAAACUAGGCGAGGCCAGGCAAGGGACCCCCGCACUGCCGGAGCGGCCGGGAGAGGGAACCAGCCGGUUGAGCUUCACACUCCGAGCAGCCGUGGCAAAUCUCAGGAACACGAACGCUGUUCCCCGGAAUCGCGCUCAGCUUUUACUAACUCGAAGACAGUGUGAGCGGCAGAACCCGGAGCGUGUGUCGGCGAAGAAGCACCGCGAGCCGCCUCACUCCGGGCGAGCCCUUAGCAAAGGAGCAACACGAGCGCCCGGCGGGAUCAGCAGCAGCAGCAGCAACAACAACAAGGGCACCGGGAGGGCUUCCCUCCUUCCUUCUCGGUGAUUUCCCAGGUGGAGUGCACACAGAAUAUGAUGCUUUUUAUCUUGCUCAGUGCUUGAAGGUAUUUAUUUUUACAUUUGCUUAUGCAUGGUUUUGAUUUAAUUUCUUUGCAGUAUAAUUUAAUCCCAGUCAAUAGUUCGACCCACUUAACUACCAAGCAGGGGAAUAAAUGAAGCUAAUUUUGACUCUCUUUUUCUCA